This 421-nucleotide ribosomal RNA is filed under the name uncultured bacterium. RNAcentral's name for it is "bacterial SSU rRNA". It matches the Rfam family "Bacterial small subunit ribosomal RNA", at positions 356 to 774 of the family's 1533-position model. The record is from RNAcentral.
AAGGAAUAUUGGACAAUGGAGGCAACUCUGAUCCAGCCAUGCCGCGUGAAGGAAUAAGGCCCUAUGGGUUGUAAACUUCUUUUAGACGGGACAAAACCCCUUUACGUGUAAAGGGUUGAUGGUACUGUCAGAAUAAGCAUCGGCUAACUUCGUGCCAGCAGCCGCGGUAAUACGAAGGAUGCAAGCGUUAUCCGGCAUUAUUGGGUUUAAAGGGUGCGUAGGCGGACUAAUAAGUCAGUGGUGAAAGCCUGCAGCUUAACUGCAGAAGUGCCAUUGAUACUGUUAGUCUUGAGUACAGUUGAGGUAGGCGGAAUGUGUCAUGUAGCGGUGAAAUGCUUAGAUAUGACACAGAACACCGAUUGCGAAGGCAGCUUGCUAAGCUGUAACUGACGCUGAGGCACGAAAGCGUGGGGAGCAAACA